AGUGAACGCUGGCGGUAGGCCUAACACAUGCGAGUCGAACGGCAGCACAGUAAGAGCUUGCUCUUACGGGUGGCGAGUGGCGGACGGGUGAGGAAUACAUCGGAAUCUACUUUUUCGUGGGGGAUAACGUAGGGAAACUUACGCUAAUACCGCAUACGACCUACGGGUGAAAGCAGGGGAUCUUCGGACCUUGCGCGAUUGAAUGAGCCGAUGUCGGAUUAGCUAGUUGGCGGGGUAAAGGCCCACCAAGGCGACGAUCCGUAGCUGGUCUGAGAGGAUGAUCAGCCACACUGGAACUGAGACACGGUCCAGACUCCUACGGGAGGCAGCAGUGGGGAAUAUUGGACAAUGGGCGCAAGCCUGAUCCAGCCAUACCGCGUGGGUGAUGAAGGCCUUCGGGUUGUAAAGCCCUUUUGUUGGGAAAGAAAAGCAGCAGGUUAAUACCCCGCUGUUCUGACGGUACCCAAAGAAUAAGCACCGGCUAACUUCGUG
RNAcentral lists this ribosomal RNA (492 nucleotides) under uncultured bacterium. RNAcentral's name for it is "partial 16S ribosomal RNA". It matches the Rfam family "Bacterial small subunit ribosomal RNA", at positions 29 to 507 of the family's 1533-position model. The record is from RNAcentral.